RNAcentral lists this transfer RNA (70 nucleotides) under Encyrtus sasakii. RNAcentral's name for it is "tRNA-Val". Lineage: Eukaryota; Metazoa; Arthropoda; Insecta; Hymenoptera; Encyrtidae. The record is from RNAcentral.
AAAAUUUUAGUUUAACUUUGGAAAAUUUUUUUUUUACAAAAAAGAGAUAUUAUAAUUAUAUUAAAUUUUA